GCUUGUCUCAAAGAUUAAGCCAUGCAUGUGUAUGCACAAGCCGUAAAUGGUGAAACCGGGAAUGGCCCAUUACAACCACCCCCGGUUACUUGAUCUUGAUUAUCCUACUCGGAUAACUGUGGCAAUUCUAGAGCUAAUACGCGCAAUAAGGCUCGGACCUUACGGGACGAGCGCAUUUAUUAGACCAAAACCAAUCGGGCUUCGGCCUGAGCUUUGGUGACUCUGAAUAACUAAGCUGAUCGCACGGUCUUAGUACCGGCGACGCAUCUUUCAAGUGUCUGCCUUAUCAACUUUCGAUGGUAGUUUAUGUGCCUACCAUGGUUGUAACGGGUAACGGAGAAUAAGGGUUCGACUCCGGAGAGGGAGCCUGAGAAACGGCUACCACAUCCAAGGAAGGCAGCAGGCGCGCAAAUUACCCACUCUCGGCACGAGGAGGUAGUGACGAAAAAUAACGAGGCGGUUCUCUUAGAGGCCCGCUAUCGGAAUGGGUACAAUUUAACCCUUAAC
This 507-nucleotide ribosomal RNA is filed under the name Tardigrada environmental sample. RNAcentral describes it as "SSU rRNA". It matches the Rfam family "Eukaryotic small subunit ribosomal RNA", at positions 30 to 538 of the family's 1831-position model. The record is from RNAcentral. Lineage: Eukaryota; Metazoa; Tardigrada.